Molecule: long non-coding RNA, 4465 nt
Organism: Pteropus alecto (black flying fox)
Lineage: Eukaryota; Metazoa; Chordata; Mammalia; Chiroptera; Pteropodidae
Exons: 2
Source: RefSeq, a predicted model, not a curated record
GAAAAUCGCCUGUCGUCCUUGGCGCAUUCACUUUCCCACAACUCGGAUCCGUACUGCGGUCCUACCGAGUGCCAAGUACUGGACAUUCAGCAUAGAUAGCACAUUGCCCCAGUUGUAGACAAGCUCACAAAUUAGCAGGGACGCUGUUACAGCAAUUACAGCACAGUGUAACGAGUGCUUUUAUGAGGUGCGUGCUAAAAUUUGUGCCAGCGAGCACGUUCUGCCCCGUGACUUAAGACCCCACAACUGAACUGGGUUUUGGGGCAUGUGUGUAAGGGUUGUCACGUAAGGAGUGUGCAUGAGGGAGGGAGGAGGUAUUCCAAGGAGAAGAAAAAGGUGUGCUAAGACAUUAGGGGUGAAAGAGCAAUAUUGUAGGAGGAAAGAGGAAAGUUACUCUUGAUUAUAGGCUCGAGUGUGCAGAAUGUGGAGUUGGCAGUGUUGAGACUCUUGGGGUCAAAUUUUGAAUGGCUCAUUGUAUCCCAUAGAAGAGUUGGGACUUUAUCUCCCAGCAGUGGGAGUUUGCAAGAAGCUUCAAGCAGGUGGCCCUGACCUUCUUACCAUUAUGUCCUGGGUGCCCAGGCUAAAGUCCGCACACAGCAGGGACUCAGUAAAUACUAGUGGAAUGAAUGUCAACUAUAUGCCAGGCCUUGGCUAGGUGCUUGCAUACACCUACUUAUUUAAUACUCCCAGCAUCCCUGCGAGCAUCUGGCUGUUUGUCCCAGUCCCCACAAUGCAGUGCCAGAUAAGAGCACUGUGCAAGAGAUUUAUGAGGGAAAUGGACAAAGAGCUGGAUCUGGGGUGCAGGUGUGAUCCUUGAAAAGGAAAGAGGCAAGGAAGUAAGGUUGGAUGGAAGGAAGCAUCUUAUACUGUAGUCAAUGCUAAGAUUAAAGUUCAGCAAGUCCCUGGAGGUUCCUUGAGCCAAAUUGGCCUGUUCUAGAAAUCCAACAGUUGCCAGACAUAGGCCUCUUGUGCUUAGUCAUAGGCUGCCAGCAGCCCAAGGAAACUGGCCUCGGCACUGACUUGGGGAUGAGUAUCAGAGGACAGAUUUCAGAGCUCAGCCGCUGGGGCAGGGCCAUUGGUUAGUUACAUUCUGCAUUGGAAGAUAUGAGAUGUACAUUUGCUUGGCCACUAUAGUAGUUAUUAUUCCAUUUUACACGCAAGGAAACAAUGGCUCUAAGAGUUAAGUAACCUAACAAGCUCAACCAGUUUCCUAAGUGGUGGAUCCUGCCUGCACCAGAAUGCAGGCCUGAUGGCUUCCAAAGCCCUUAUGUUUUCUACCCUGUGCAUUGUUGCCUCUGAGCUGCCAUCAGUGAGAAUCUAGGGACAGGGAGUUCAGCUGGGAGACUUUGCUAAGGACUUGGUGAGAUGCUAUGAUGCAUUAAAAAUGGUGGCAAAUUCUUUGACACUCCUGUUGAGAAGUGUGGGUCUAUACCAGCGGUCCUCAACCUUUUUGGCACCAGGGAGGGACUGGUGCUCCUAUGAAAAUCUAAUGCCUGAUGAUCUGAGGUGUAGCUGAGCCAGUGAUGCUGGCGCUGGGGAGCAGCUGCAAAUACAGAUGAAGUUUCACUCACUCACAUGCUGCUCACCUCCUGUCGUGCAGCCCCGUUCCUAACAGACCACUAACUGGUAACUGUCCGUGGCCUGGGAGUUGGGGACCCCUGGUCUAUAUCUUCUUCAUUUAAAUUUGGGCUGGAAUUAGUGAUUUGUUAAAUCAACGUAAUACGGUGGAAAUCACCAUAUCCUGGAACUUCCGAAGUUAGAUGAUGAUAAACACCUUGCAACUUUUGCCUGGGCCUCUGGAAAUUGUUGCUCUUAGAUCCCUGAGCCACUACUAAGUCAGCUCCCCUGAGGUCUCCAUGCUGGAGAGAAUGUGGGAGAAACUGCAGAAAGACACCUUGAGCCUGCAGGAAGAGAGGUACCCUGUUGGCCCCCCACUGUCUCCAGCUAUUCGAGUCUGGGGCCCCAGGCAUAAGGAACAGAGUGGUCCCUCCUUGCCCUGCCUAAAAUGCAAAAUAAAGGAUCGUUUUCAGCCACAAGUUUGGCCUAGCAUGUUACUCAGUUUUAGAUAACUGGAACAGAUUAUGAAAGCAGGGCUGACUCUGGGACAUUGGCAAUGACAGUGGCUGCCUACUCCCAGCUCUACCCAGCUAUAGCUACUAAAGGUCUUCGAGCAGCAGCCCCAGAGAACCAGGCCUGGGGAGGGUCUGGAAUUAUUCAAAUCUUCCAAGCCUUGUGGUCACAGUGCCUGUGGGGUCUCCAGUCCUCAUGUACCCACAGUCGGCAGCCUUUCCCUAUCCUCAAUCCUGCCCUAUAUCUCCUUUAGGUUGAAGUUAUCUAACUAAGCUCUUCCCUAUGUCCCAGUUUGCUUAAGGGGCCAUGCCAGCCUACUCACUCUCACUCAUCCCCGCCUAUUCACUCUCACUCAUCCCCUUCCUAGGCAUUGGAUGGAGUCCUCUGCAGUCUGUGUCUUUUUCUUCACUAACUAGAAAAAAGAAAACCUGCCUGCCUGAUUAUUCAGCACCUGGAGGCUCACGCUCAGAUUGAACCCUCCCUCCUCUUCCUAAUGAAGACCAGAUUUUCUGUUUGCUGGCUCCAUUCUUAAGAGCAAACUCCAUAGUUAACCAUCCACUCCAGCCUUAGGUCACAAAUCCUAGUUCAGUCUUCCUUCUCACUGUUCACUGAUGUCCCUUCUUGCCUCUUGUCUGGGCCACUAGGGAGUAACAGACUGUGGGGAUGGGGGGAGGGACCCAGAUUUGAUAAACACAUCUCCAUAUGAGGAGAGUUUCCGAACAAGGGUGUCCAACUCAGCUGCCCUCGGUUCACCUUCCCUUAGAGGCUCUCUCACCUGGCCACCCCCACUCUGUUGUUCCCACUGUCGGGUGUUUGGUAAGCUGCUUCCCCUUUAAAACUCUGGUCCAAACUGGACAAAAACCUCUUUCUUGAUUCUUAGCACAGCUGACCAGACUAGCAUUUUAAAGAUGUACUAAAAACUAAGAACAGAAAAGAUCUAAUUAUAGAAAAUACAAACGGCUUUAUAAAAACAACUCAUGUUCCCAAAAUUGCAGUCUGUGAUCCCACAGUAAUUUCCGUCUUGUUGUAAGGAGCUGACACAACUUUUUAGCAACUGGCCUGGCUAUCUUGGUGUUGCGUUCCAUCUUCUUCUCCACCCCAAGGCAGCUACUGGCAGGGACUUUACCCAAAGCCCCCAAAUUCUCAUACAAGCUUCCCAAAGCUUGUAUGAGGAGAGUUUGGUACCUCCUUAUUUCUGAUCUAUGGGACAUGUCACCUCCACUGCUAAUUGGCCCUAUUAAGUCUUUUUUUGUGCCAUAGAAUCAUAUGACCCUACAAGUGGAACUCCACAUCUCUGUAGAGGGAAUGGCUGCUACAUGGCAAGUACACAGACUAAUAACCCCUUGUCGCACUCUGGAGGGUCAGACGGUGUGGGAAGAGAUUACUGCUGCUACUGGUUAGAAGGGGAGGCUGAUGCCCUGACAGGAAGACAAUUAGUUUUCCCGGCGACCUCACUAUAUCUAAAAUCAGAAGAACAAGAACUUUGAGAAUAGCGAGUGCCUUUAGGAAUGAACGACUGUUGGUACCCAUUACGAAUUACACAAUCAUUCGGGACUUAGGAAAAGAACUUCCUUCACAGACUCUAAGACAGACUCCAUGACAACAGACUCUAAACCCUGGGGAAGGAAGAAAGGUUUGUUGCGCCCCACCUUAAAUUUAGAAUAUUGAUAUUAUACUCAAAGGUUAAGCAUAUAGUCGUUGUGUACUUUUAUGCUAAAGGUGUUAAUGUGUUAAAUGUAAACAUUUAAAAUACACCACAAUUUUUACAACCCUGUCUGGUAGACAGUCUCCAAAUAUGAUGGUCAACACCUCUUCCUUUCUUCAUAGGCUCCUGCUGCUCCUGUGAUCCAGGUGGAGUUUGUUCCUCUCCGCUUAUGUCUGAGUUGGCCUUGGGUCCUGCUUCGACCAGUACAACGUGAAGAAACUGAUGACAGUGACCGGGUCUAGAUCUAGGCCUUAAGGGAUUUGGCAGCUUCUUCCUUUACCUUCUCAGGCUCCAGCUGCCAUGUUAGAAGCUCGGAUUUCACGACUAGGUGGAGAGGGACCCUGGAGAAUGACAGGCCAUCAGGGACGUCACAGCCCAUCUAACUCCCGGAUGAAUAUCGUCGUAUGCUACAUGGAGCAGAAACGAGGCGCCAUCCCUGCUGAGCCCUGCCCAAACGACAGAAUUGUGACAAAAUGAAUGAAGUGCCCCACAGGAUUGCUGGCCACCACACUGACCUCAUUCUCUGAAAUGCUUUGAAAUGAUUAUCCAGGAGUCUCCUGUAUGGAUCCAACUUCAAAGAAGAUUAUUAUUCAGCUAACUUUACAACUGUUGGUUUCGAAACAUUUCCAGUUCUCUGGUAAACAGCAAACAUUGUUUCCUUUUAGCCUCAAUAAAGAAUGUUUUAGUAUA